This is a long non-coding RNA of Frieseomelitta varia, 2318 nucleotides long. RefSeq lists it as uncharacterized. NCBI's taxonomy places the organism in Eukaryota, Metazoa, Arthropoda, Insecta, Hymenoptera, Apidae. The record is from RefSeq and is a predicted model, not a curated record. The transcript has 3 exons.
UUUUUUUUUUUUUUAAUCAAAGUUUGUUUCAUUUUAUGAUUAGAAAAUUCAAUUGAUCAGUGAGACCAUCCUUACACUACCAGGAACACCUCCCCCCGGAUUGUGACAAGGACAACACGGCAAGGCCCAUCGAUAAAUAUCUUCAGUCCCUUUAUGGCGAUCUUGAGGCACGUACACGCACGAGCGUGCAUUGCGAAAGAGGGAUGUCGAUAUAUCUUUCUGUCCUUACUACCACAAAAAGCCAUGGUACAUUCACACCAGGUAUCGUAGCGUAUUUAUUAUUCCGCUGGUAAGUACAGCUGUUGUUAUCUGGCAGCCUUAUUUGGCGCGGUUAUUCGACACGCCUCGUGGUGCUUUGUGCGCCGUGCCGCUAAGAUAUACUCUCUCAUUGUAUGCAUAUUACUCACUUUUCAUUUGCCUUCUUAACGAGCGAGAUUAAGCACGGCGUGUGUGUCACUUUUUAAAUUAACGCGAUCUCCGUGCGGGCUGUUGCAAAAUCACGGUCCGCCGGACAGUCUAAUUGGAAUAGCGCGCUAAUUAAAGAUGUUCGUUCGGCCACAGGUUUAAGGUCGUCGUUCAAUUAUAACAGUCGAGCACUAAUAACAGGUUGAAGAAGCUAUUUGUUUUAUGUAUCGAAAUGUUCGAUAGACAAAAGAGUACGUUCCCUGCAAUUUUUAUGCAUUUCUGGGAGAUUUAAACGUGUGAAAACUCAUAGAAUGCAGGUGGUAAUCAAAAACGUACAAAAUGUGUAAAUAUCUUUUCAAUUCUGUUCAUAGAAAAGUUAUAAACAUCUGCAGUCUACUUGUUCCAAUAUCUGGUAGAAAAAAACAGAUUUAAAAUAUUUUUAAUUAGGUUGAUAAAACUCCAUAAAUAUCUGUGUACUUUAUUCAUAUUAUCUUAGAAUUACUUUAGAAGAGAUUAAUAUUUUUAGCUACUCUAAAUUAAAAUGAAAUACGUACUCCAUAGUCAGAUUCAACCUGCAGAAAUAUUUAUUUUUCUCGUUUGAUUUCAUAUUUAAAAAAGUCAUGCAACUUCUUGACCUCUGUUCAUUUGUCUAUUAAACUUCGUAAUUAAAGGCUGAUGGAUUCUUGCAACAGUUUCAUGAUGUUUUAAUUAAUAAGCUGAGUAAUAAAAAAAAAAAUCGCCUUAUUUGCAUAACAUAAUAUAUGAAUAACAUAUGGUCAUAAUAUAUGAAAAUUUAAUUAAGUCUACGAUCGUCUGGUCUGAGUGUUCGUUAGUUGUCAAUUAUUAGUAAUGUCUAGUUGAUCGAUUAUCGUUUGAGAGAACAUUGUUCAAAUUCAGAAAUUUCGUCUUUUACAAAUAUUUCACAACUCUUUCUGUCAAACAAAAGAGGAAAGAAUGAGCUUUCAACAUAAUUAGUAUUAUAAGCUGAAACAUUGAUAAUCAAGACAGCUUCAAGAUAUAUUAACCCUGGUGUUCUUCUCAUUUCAGACAUCUCCUUUUCAAAUUUGAAAAUGCUUGAAGAUAAUGGUGAAAAGUGUAAAAUAUAUAAAAAAUAGAAUUUAUAUAUUUAAGAACUAUCUACAAUAGCUUCUGUCAUAUUUGGAUAUUUCAUAGAAUUUAAUCUUUCAAAAUUUAUUGUUGAAAAAUGUACAGAUGGUUAAUUAUGUAUUAGAAACUGGUUAUUGGAAAUUUCAUCAGAGGCGAAUAUGUCCCACACGCCACGAUCCGAGGAGAACUGCAGGGCUAAACAUUCACUGUAUCAGAGUCAACUGAAUUUCCUCUGAAUUUACUUGAACUUCGGACCAGCGACGAACAAAUUACAAUGAAUUUACCACUGGCACGGUGUCCUCCUCCUCCUGAACCACCAAUUGAAAGUCUGGCUUCAUGGUAAUUAACGUGCGACCGCCUCAUUAGUCACUGUCAUCUAACCCGCUUCGUAUACACAUUAUAUGCGUAACAUGCUUCUGAAUUAUCGCUUAUCAACGGUGUAGCUGGUCGGUUUGAUUAUCGUUCGAGGAGCGUGCGCGACAACGCGUUAAAUCGUUUAUUUUAUCAAUUCCCAAGGCUUAUUUCCGUGUCGCAAUGAUGCUCGAUAAUCAAGUUGUACGUCAGUUUUGCAAUUUUUAAUAUGACGGCCUUUUUAUCAGAGACUAACGAAGCCGCGAGGUAGUGUUACGCUUCUCUGGACGAUCCACGAGGAUAAAAGACGCGAAAAAUGACGGACGUGCGCGUCUGUCGACCAGACCUAAGAUUAGUUAUGCAUUUAUGACAGGUGCAGUAUGAAAAUAUAUGCCAGGAUAUGUACAAAUGCAAUAUUAUAGGAAAUAAGACGUUAUAUCAUUUUUGAAGUUGAA